Molecule: ribosomal RNA, 1515 nt
Filed under: Corynebacterium sp. HMSC059E07
Lineage: Bacteria; Bacillati; Actinomycetota; Actinomycetes; Mycobacteriales; Corynebacteriaceae
Description: bacterial LSU rRNA
Rfam family: Bacterial large subunit ribosomal RNA
Source: RNAcentral
GUGGUUGUUGAUGUCGUGGGGCCUGAUGUGUGGUUCAAGUGAUGGGGUGACACAGUGUAGUAGCCAUGCCGCUUAGUGGAUUGUUGGUGUAAGCGUGUGAGGUGGUGUGUAGGCAAAUCCGCACACCGUAAUACCUGAGGCGUGAUGCGUAGCCCGAGUGUGGGUGAAGUUGGUGAUCUAGUACUGUCGAGAAAAGCCUCUAGCGAUGUGGAUGUAUGGCCCGUACCCUAAACCGACACAGGUGGUCAGGUUGAAAAUACUAAGGCGUUCGGGUGAACUGUGGUUAAGGAACUCGGCAAAAUGCCCCCGUAACUUCGGGAGAAGGGGGACCACACGACUUUGACACUUCUUGCAGGUGUUGUGGGUUGUGGGGUCGCAGAGAAUAGAGGGAAGCGACUGUUUAUCAAAAACACAGGUCCAUGCGAAGACGUUAAGUUGAUGUAUAUGGACUGACGCCUGCCCGGUGCUGGAAGGUUAAGAGGACCGGUUAGUAGUCUUUGACUGCGAAGCUGAGAAUUUAAGCCCCAGUAAACGGCGGUGGUAACUAUAACCAUCCUAAGGUAGCGAAAUUCCUUGUCGGGUAAGUUCCGACCUGCACGAAUGGCGUAACGACUUCUCUGCUGUCUCAACCACAGGCCCGGUGAAAUUGCACUACGAGUAAAGAUGCUCGUUACGCGCGGCAGGACGAAAAGACCCCGGGACCUUCACUAUAGCUUGGUAUUGGUGUUCGGUUCGGUUUGUGUAGGAUAGGUGGGAGACUAUGAGACGUGUGCGCCAGCACGCGUGGAGUCGUUGUUGAAAUACCACUCUGAUCGGAUUGGAUACCUUAACCUUGGCCCAUGAUCUGGGUUGGGGACAGUGCCUGGUGGGUAGUUUAACUGGGGCGGUUGCCUCCCAAAAUGUAACGGAGGCGCCCAAAGGUUCCCUCAGCCUGGUUGGCAAUCAGGUAGCGAGUGUAAGUGCACAAGGGAGCUUGACUGUGAGACAGACAUGUCGAACAGGGACGAAAGUCGGGACUAGUGAUCCGGCACCUACUUGUGGAUGUGGUGUCGCUCAACGGAUAAAAGGUACCCCGGGGAUAACAGGCUGAUCUUCCCCAAGAGUCCAUAUCGACGGGAUGGUUUGGCACCUCGAUGUCGGCUCGUCGCAUCCUGGGGCUGGAGUAGGUCCCAAGGGUUGGGCUGUUCGCCCAUUAAAGCGGCACGCGAGCUGGGUUCAGAACGUCGUGAGACAGUUCGGUCUCUAUCCGCCGCGCGCGUUGAAACUUGAAGAAGGCUGUCCCUAGUACGAGAGGACCGGGACGGACGUACCUCUAGUGUGCCAGUUGUUCCGCCAGGAGCAUCGCUGGUUGGCUACGUACGGAAGGGAUAACCGCUGAAAGCAUCUAAGCGGGAAGCCUGUUUUAAGAUGAGGUUUCAUUUGAGGUCCCCCAAAGACGAUGGGGUUGAUAGGCCAGACCUGGACGCACCGCAAGGUGUGAAGGCUACUGGUACUAAUAGACCAAAACAAACACAC